AGUGGACGCUGGCGGUAGGCCUAACACAUGCAAGUCGAACGGCAGCACAGUAAGAGCUUGCUCUUACGGGUGGCGAGUGGCGUACGGGUGAGGAAUACAUCGGAAUCUACUUUUUCGUGGGGGAUAACGUAGGGAAACUUACGCUAAUACCGCAUACGACCUACGGGUGAAAGCAGGGGAUCUUCGGACCUUGCGCGAUUGAAUGAGCCGAUGUCGGAUUAGCUAGUUGGCGGGGUAAAGGCCCACCAAGGCGACGAUCCGUAGCUGGUCUGAGAGGAUGAUCAGCCACACUGGAACUGAGACACGGUCCAGACUCCUACGGGAGGCAGCAGUGGGGAAUAUUGGACAAUGGGCGCAAGCCUGAUCCAGCCAUACCGCGUGGGUGAAGAAGGCCUUCGGGUUGUAAAGCCCUUUUGUUGGGAAAGAAAAGCAGCAGGUUAAUACCCCGCUGUUCUGACGGUACCCAAAGAAUAAGCACCGGCUAACUUCGUG
RNAcentral lists this ribosomal RNA (492 nucleotides) under uncultured bacterium. Its description in RNAcentral is "partial 16S ribosomal RNA". It matches the Rfam family "Bacterial small subunit ribosomal RNA", at positions 29 to 507 of the family's 1533-position model. The record is from RNAcentral.